Molecule: unclassified non-coding RNA, 410 nt
Filed under: Hevea brasiliensis (rubber tree)
Lineage: Eukaryota; Viridiplantae; Streptophyta; Magnoliopsida; Malpighiales; Euphorbiaceae
Source: RNAcentral
GUUACAAAACAAUGUGGAAAGAAAAAGCAUCCUUGUGACCUUAGUUGCUAAAAAUUGGCGGAUGCCGCCUAUACAAAAGUAAGGGGCCUCGCCCAUCUGUAACACAUUUACUUCCCAUUUCUUCAGACAGUUGCUGCUUUGAGGGUGAGAAAAUCAGAAAUUUGGUUUGUGUAGAAAUCUGGCUGGAUCGAGUUGUCAGGGCUCUGAAGCAUCUGUACAGAAGUGACACCUGAAAGGACCAGAAGAGUUUUGCAACCUCCGUUUUGGCCAAACAAGAUGUCGGUAUCCAAACGGUCACCAACCAUGCAUAUCUGGGAUGUUGUGAUCCCAAACUUCUUUGCCAGGUAGUCCAUCAUGAAUGUUGACGGCUUCCCGACAACGAGCGGUUCUUGUUUAGUUGAACCAAGAAU